GUGGGGAAUAUUGCACAAUGGGCGAAAGCCUGAUGCAGCAACGCCGCGUGAGUGAUGAAGGCCUUCGGGUCGUAAAGCUCUUUGAUCAGGGAUGAUAAUGACAGUACCUGAAAAACAAGCCACGGCUAACUACGUGCCAGCAGCCGCGGUAAUACGUAGGUGGCGAGCGUUGUCCGGAAUUACUGGGCGUAAAGGAUGCGUAGGUGGAUAUUUAAGUGGGAUGUGAAAUCCCCGGGCUCAACCCGGGAACUGCAUUCCAAACUGGAUGUCUAGAGUGCAGGAGAGGAAAGCGGAAUUCCUAGUGUAGCGGUGAAAUGCGUAGAUAUUAGGAGGAACACCAGUGGCGAAGGCGGCUUUCUGGACUGUAACUGACACUGAGGCAUGAAAGCGUGGGUAGCAAACAGGAUUAGAAACCCUAGUAGUCC
RNAcentral lists this ribosomal RNA (425 nucleotides) under uncultured bacterium. Its description in RNAcentral is "bacterial SSU rRNA". It matches the Rfam family "Bacterial small subunit ribosomal RNA", at positions 354 to 796 of the family's 1533-position model. The record is from RNAcentral.